GACGAACGCUGGCGGCGCGCUUAACACAUGCAAGUCGAACGGAAAGGCCUGCUUUCCCUUGUGGAUUGCGGGUACUCGAGUGGCGAACGGGUGAGUAACACGUGAGUGAUCUGCCCCCAACUUGGGUAUAAGCCUGGGAAACUGGGUCUAAUUCCCGAUAGGACUGCAGGGUGGUGCCUGUGGUGGAAAACGAUUUUCUAGUGGUUGGGGAUGAGCUCGCGGCCUAUCAGCUUGUUGGUGGGGUAAUGGCCUACCAAGGCGGCGACGGGUAGCCGGCCUGAGAGGGUGGACGGCCACAUUGGGACUGAGAUACGGCCCAGACUCCUACGGGAGGCAGCAGUGGGGAAUAUUGCACAAUGGGCGGAAGCCUGAUGCAGCGACGCCGCGUGGGGGAUGACGGCCUUCGGGUUGUAAACUCCUUUCGACCGCGAGGAAGCCACCUGGUUGGAAGGGUGGUGACGGUAGUGGUAGUAGAAGCACCGGCUAACUACGUG
Molecule: ribosomal RNA, 494 nt
Filed under: uncultured bacterium
Lineage: Bacteria
Description: partial 16S ribosomal RNA
Rfam family: Bacterial small subunit ribosomal RNA
Source: RNAcentral